Molecule: ribosomal RNA, 339 nt
Filed under: bacterium enrichment culture clone ALO1_GLFRUDD03HCHZQ
Lineage: Bacteria
Description: bacterial SSU rRNA
Rfam family: Bacterial small subunit ribosomal RNA
Source: RNAcentral
GAGUUUGAUCUUGGCUCAGAUUGAACGCUGGCGGCAUGCCUUACACAUGCAAGUCGAACGGCAGCACGGGAGCUUGCUCCUGGUGGCGAGUGGCGAACGGGUGAGUAAUGCAUCGGAACGUAUCCUGGAGUGGGGGAUAACGUAGCGAAAGUUACGCUAAUACCGCAUAUUCUGUGAGCAGGAAAGCGGGGGACCUUCGGGCCUCGCGCUCUUGGAGCGGCCGAUGUCGGAUUAGCUAGUUGGUGAGGUAAAGGCUCACCAAGGCGACGAUCCGUAGCAGGUCUGAGAGGAUGAUCUGCCACACUGGAACGUGAGACACGGUCCAGACCUCCUACGGGA